GGUCAAGCUAAUAAGGGCAUAGGGUGAAUGCCUUGGCACCAGAAGCCGAUGAAGGACGGGGUAAGCACCGAAAUGCCUCGGGGAGCUGCAAACAAGCUUUGAUCCGAGGAUUUCCGAAUGGGGAAACCUACCUAGAUUUUCUAGGUAUCAUCUACUGAAUUCAUAGGUAGAUGAAGGAAUACCAGGGGAACUGAAACAUCUAAGUACCCUGAGGAAAAGAAAGAAAACUCGAUUUCCUAAGUAGCGGCGAGCGAAAGGGAAGGAGCCUAAACUUAUAGAGUUUACUCUAUAAGGGUUGUGGACCAGCAUCACAUAAAUUUAAUUUGUAGCUGAAAAACCUGGAAAGGUUUACUAUAGAAGGUGAUAGUCCUGUAAGUGAAACAAAUUAAUUUAUAGCUGGUAUCCAAAGUACCAUGGGGCACGUGAAAUCCUGUGGGAAGCUGGGAGGACCAUCUCCCAAGGCUAAAUACUAACUGGUGACCGAUAGUGAAGAAGUACCGUGAGGGAAAGGUGAAAAGAACCCCGGAAGGGGAGUGAAAUAGAAUCUGAAACCCUAUGUUUACAAGCAGUGGAAGCACUUUUUAUGUGCAACCACGUACUUUUUGUAGAACGAGCCAGCGAGUUACGAUAUAUAGCAAGGUUAAACUUUUUACAAAGUGAAGCCGCAGGGAAACCAAGUCUAAAUAGGGCUAUUAGUUAUAUGUCGUAGACCCGAAACCAGGUGACCUACCCAUGAGCAGAGCGAAACGAAAGUAAAAUUUCGUGGAGGCUCGAACCGUUUAGUGUUGAAAAACUAUCGGAUGACUUGUGGGUAGCGGUGAAAUUCCAAUCGAACCUGGAUAUAGCUGGUUCUCCUCGAAAUAGCUUUAGGGCUAGCCUCAAGUAAGUGACGUGGAGGUAGAGCACUGAAUGGUCUAGGGGCACUUUGUGCUACCAAAACCUAUCAAACUCCGAAUGCCACAGUCAUGUUGCUUGGGAGUCAGACUGCGGGAGAUAAGUUUCGUAGUCGAAAGGGAAAGAGCCCAGACCACCAGCUAAGGUCCCUAAAUCCAGAUUAAGUGGGAAAGGAUGUAAAGUUACACAGACAACCAGGAUGUUGGCUUAGAAGCAGCCACUCAUUUAAAGAGUGCGUAACAGCUCACUGGUCGAGUGGCUUUGCGCCGAAGAUUUCCGGGGCUAAAAUCUGGUACCGAAGCUGUGGAUUCGUAAGAAUGGUAGAGGAGCAUUCUGUAUGGGCUGAAGCUACACCGUAAGGAGUGGUGGACUAUACAGAAGAGAGAAUGCUGGCAUGAGUAGCGAUAAGGCGAGUGAGAAUCUCGCCCGUCGAAAGCCUAAGGUUUCCUGAGGAAGGCUCGUCCUCUCAGGGUUAGUCGGGACCUAAGCUGAGGCCCAAUGGCGUAGGCGAUGGACAACAGGUUGAGAUUCCUGUACUAUUUAUAUGCGUUUGAGAGAAGGGGUGACGCAGGAGGAUAGGCUAUGCGUACUGUUGGUUAUGUACGUCCAAACCUGUAGAAAGCUCCUAUAGGCAAAUCCGUAGGAGAGUUUCAAGAGGUGAUGGGGAGCGAAAAACAAGUAGUGAAGUAGCUGAAUCCAUACUGCCAAGAAAAGCCUCUAUCGAGUAUAUAAAUACCCGUACCGCAAACCGACACAGGUAGGCGAGGAGAAAAUCCUAAGACGUGCGGAAGAACCCUUGUUAAGGAACUAGGCAAAAUAACCCCGUAACUUCGGGAGAAGGGGUGCCAAC
This 1744-nucleotide ribosomal RNA is filed under the name Anaerosalibacter massiliensis. RNAcentral describes it as "Bacterial large subunit ribosomal RNA". It matches the Rfam family "Bacterial large subunit ribosomal RNA", at positions 1 to 1755 of the family's 2925-position model. The record is from Rfam by way of RNAcentral. Lineage: Bacteria; Bacillati; Bacillota; Tissierellia; Tissierellales; Sporanaerobacteraceae.